This 188-nucleotide unclassified non-coding RNA is filed under the name soil metagenome. RNAcentral describes it as "partial internal transcribed spacer 1". The record is from RNAcentral.
CAGAGUUGCAAAACUCCCACAAACCAUCGCGAAUCUUACCCGUACGGUUGCCUCGGCGCUGGCGGUCCGGAAGGCCCUCGGGCCCCCCGGAUCCUCGGGUCUCCCGCUCGCGGGAGGCUGCCCGCCGGAGUGCCGAAACCAAACUCUUGACAUUUUAUGUCUCUCUGAGUAAACUUUUAAAUAAGUCA